UAAUAGCUUUCAUCGAAAGAAAAGUGAAAAGAGAAGAACAGAAUUUAAAUAGACUUCAACCUAUUCUGAAUCUUUGUUUUCCUUUCCUUCCUUCUUUCCUUGGAUCAGCAUUCUGUGAUUUGGUGCUUGAAUCCUUUGAUUAAAUUUC
This 148-nucleotide unclassified non-coding RNA is filed under the name Schizosaccharomyces pombe (fission yeast). RNAcentral describes it as "non-coding RNA (predicted)". Lineage: Eukaryota; Fungi; Ascomycota; Schizosaccharomycetes; Schizosaccharomycetales; Schizosaccharomycetaceae. The record is from RNAcentral.